Molecule: long non-coding RNA, 365 nt
Organism: Cydia splendana
Lineage: Eukaryota; Metazoa; Arthropoda; Insecta; Lepidoptera; Tortricidae
Exons: 2
Source: RefSeq, a predicted model, not a curated record
UUAUGCAACCGUUGUUUAAGAGAGGUCAAAAAAGGCGAGUGGCGUGAGUAACAACGCCACGAGUAUUUUUUGACUCAGUUAAACAACGUUGCAUACAAUACUUUUUCUACGACCAAGCACUUACUUUGAAAUAAAAUUGUGAAUUUAACAAAUAUUUUUAAUUUAAGAAAUAGCAAAAAUGGAGGGUACGGGCGGGAAAAGAAUGAAUGAACGAAUGAAAUUAAAAAAAAAACUGUCUAUGGUUCACUUAUUUGUCAGAGAUGACAUUUAAAAUAAGGUUGACAACACUGUAUUUCAUUCAAUAUUCUUUAAGUGGUCAUUACACGAAGUAUCGUAAAAUCACCAAAAAGAUACUGCGUGUAUGC